This 162-nucleotide small RNA is filed under the name Theobroma cacao (cacao). RNAcentral describes it as "sRNA Tc10v2_g008630". Lineage: Eukaryota; Viridiplantae; Streptophyta; Magnoliopsida; Malvales; Malvaceae. The record is from RNAcentral.
AAAAAAGUGUGGGAUUUCAAGGGAUUAAGCUAAUAAAGGUGGUGAAUCCUUUACUAAGGGCAAAGAAAUUGUACCCGAGGAUCGGUAGUCAGAGUACUCUAGAAAUUCGACUCCUGAAAUAGCUCAGAAUAGGUUGUAGAUAGCUGAUUUCAUCGAGGCUAC